AUACGAAGGGGGCUAGCGUUGUUCGGAUUUACUGGGCGUAAAGCGCACGUAGGCGGAUCGUUAAGUCGGGGGUGAAAUCCUGGAGCUCAACUCCAGAACUGCCUUCGAUACUGGCGAUCUUGAGUCCGGAAGAGGUGAGUGGAACUCCUAGUGUAGAGGUGGAAUUCGUAGAUAUUAGGAAGAACACCAGUGGCGAAGGCGGCUCACUGGUCCGGUACUGACGCUGAGGUGCGAAAGCGUGGGGAGC
Molecule: ribosomal RNA, 247 nt
Filed under: uncultured bacterium
Lineage: Bacteria
Description: partial 16S ribosomal RNA
Rfam family: Bacterial small subunit ribosomal RNA
Source: RNAcentral